GGCCGGUUAGCUCAGUUGGUUAGAGCGUGGUACUGAUAACCCCAAUGUCGUGGGUUCGAUCCCCAUUCGGUCC
This 73-nucleotide transfer RNA is filed under the name Apaloderma vittatum (bar-tailed trogon). It matches the Rfam family "tRNA". Rfam says of the family: Transfer RNA (tRNA) molecules are approximately 80 nucleotides in length. Their secondary structure includes four short double-helical elements and three loops (D, anti-codon, and T loops). Further hydrogen bonds mediate the characteristic L-shaped molecular structure. tRNAs have two regions of fundamental functional importance: the anti-codon, which is responsible for specific mRNA codon recognition, and the 3' end, to which the tRNAs corresponding amino acid is attached (by aminoacyl-tRNA synthetases). tRNAs cope with the degeneracy of the genetic code in two manners: having more than one tRNA (with a specific anti-codon) for a particular amino acid; and 'wobble' base-pairing, i.e. permitting non-standard base-pairing at the 3rd anti-codon position. Lineage: Eukaryota; Metazoa; Chordata; Aves; Trogoniformes; Trogonidae. The record is from Rfam by way of RNAcentral.